RNAcentral lists this long non-coding RNA (339 nucleotides) under Homo sapiens (human). RNAcentral describes it as "non-protein coding lnc-ANKRD50-2:1". The record is from RNAcentral. Lineage: Eukaryota; Metazoa; Chordata; Mammalia; Primates; Hominidae.
AGCUACUCUUUAGAGGUAUGAUGGAUCUCCCCACAAAGUCUGGUUCAGGUGUCAAGACCUACACACCAAGAAACGAUGAGAAGAAUUAUCAUUCACAUGAGACUUUCUGGGGCAAGCAGAGUGGCUACCAAACAGGUCUUAAAAUGGCUUGAGAAAUCCAGGUAAGGAGAUUGAGAUUUGAAGUUCAGGAUAGAAAACAGCAUCAAUAUUAUCAGAAUGCACAAGCCACGAACCCCAUUGCCAGACUGCUUGUUACAUGGCAGGUACACAAUUAUAUUUAUAAUAUAAAAAAUGAAUGAUUGAGCAAAUAAAAAUAAAAACAACUAAGAGUGGAGAAUG